Molecule: small nuclear RNA, 110 nt
Organism: Otolemur garnettii (small-eared galago)
Lineage: Eukaryota; Metazoa; Chordata; Mammalia; Primates; Galagidae
Source: Ensembl
GUGUUGUAUGAAAGGAGAGAAGGACAAGGAUGGAAGAGGCUCGGGCCUGACAACACACAUACAGUUAAGGCAUUGCCACCUACUACUACAGUGUUAGACUUAUGAUUUUU